RNAcentral lists this ribosomal RNA (164 nucleotides) under Polylepis lanuginosa. Its description in RNAcentral is "5.8S ribosomal RNA". It matches the Rfam family "5.8S ribosomal RNA". From Rfam's summary of the family: 5.8S ribosomal RNA (5.8S rRNA) is a component of the large subunit of the eukaryotic ribosome. It is transcribed by RNA polymerase I as part of the 45S precursor that also contains 18S and 28S rRNA. The record is from RNAcentral. Lineage: Eukaryota; Viridiplantae; Streptophyta; Magnoliopsida; Rosales; Rosaceae.
UAAACAACUCUCGGCAACAAAUAUCUCGACUCUCGCAUCGAUGAAGAACAUAGCGAAAUGUGAUACUUUGUGUGAAUUGCAUAAUCUUGUGAACCAUUGAGUCUUUGAACGCAAGUUAAUCCAAAAACCAUUAGGCCGAGGGCAUGUCUGCAUGUGGGUCACAC